CACCUGAUCCAGCCAUGCCGCGUGAGUGAUGAAGGCCUUAGGGUCGUAAAGCUCUUUCGCCUGUGAAGAUAAUGACGGUAGCAGGUAAAGAAACCCCGGCUAACUCCGUGCCAGCAGCCGCGGUAAUACGGAGGGGGUUAGCGUUGUUCGGAAUUACUGGGCGUAAAGCGCACGUAGGCGGACUGGAAAGUUGGGGGUGAAAUCCCAGGGCUCAACCCUGGAACUGCCUCCAAAACUAUCAGUCUAGAGUUCGAGAGAGGUGAGUGGAAUUCCGAGUGUAGAGGUGAAAUUCGUAGAUAUUCGGAGGAACACCAGUGGCGAAGGCGGCUCACUGGCUCGAUACUGACGCUGAGGUGCGAAAGUGUGGGGAGCAAACAGGAUUAGAUACCCUGGUAGUCCACACCGUAAACGAUGAAUGCCAGUCGUCGGGUAGCAUGCUAUUCGGUGACACACCUAACGGAUUAAGCAUUCCGCCUGGGGAGUACGGUCGCAAGAUUAAAACUCA
Molecule: ribosomal RNA, 505 nt
Filed under: Ruegeria sp.
Lineage: Bacteria; Pseudomonadati; Pseudomonadota; Alphaproteobacteria; Rhodobacterales; Roseobacteraceae
Description: bacterial SSU rRNA
Rfam family: Bacterial small subunit ribosomal RNA
Source: RNAcentral